Molecule: ribosomal RNA, 460 nt
Filed under: uncultured bacterium
Lineage: Bacteria
Description: partial 16S ribosomal RNA
Rfam family: Bacterial small subunit ribosomal RNA
Source: RNAcentral
CCUACGGGGGGCUGCAGUGAGGAAUAUUGGUCAAUGGACGAGAGUCUGAACCAGCCAAGUCGCGUGAAGGAUGACUGCGCCAUGGGUUGUAAACUUCUUUUAUAGGGGAAUAAAAUGUUCCACGUGUGGGGUUUUGUAUGUACCCUAUGAAUAAGGAUCGGCUAACUCCGUGCCCGCAGCCGCGGUAAUACGGAGGAUGCGAGCGUUAUCCGGAUUUAUUGGGGUUAAAGGGUGCGUAGGUGGAUUGGUAAGUCAGUUGUGAAAGUUUGGGGGUCAACCGUAAAAUUGCAGUUGAAACUGGCAGUCUUGAGUACAGUAGAGGUAGGCGGAAUUCGUGGUGUAGCGGUGAAAUGCAUAGAUAUCGCGAAGAACUCCGAUUGCGAAGGCAGUUCACUGGACUGCAACUGACACUGAGGCUCGAAAGUGUGGGUAUCAAACAGGAUUAGAUACCCUGGUAGUC